Non-coding RNA from Fusobacterium sp. CAG:439, 74 nucleotides. The record is from Rfam. Lineage: Bacteria; Fusobacteriati; Fusobacteriota; Fusobacteriia; Fusobacteriales; Fusobacteriaceae.
CGGGAUGUGGCGCAGCUUGGUAGCGCACCUCGCUUGGGACGAGGGGGUCGCACGUUCAAAUCGUGUCAUCCCGA